GAUGAACGCUGGCGGCGUGCCUAAUACAUGCAAGUCGAGCGAAUGGAUUAAGAGCUUGCUCUUAUGAAGUUAGCGGCGGACGGGUGAGUAACACGUGGGUAACCUGCCCAUAAGACUGGGAUAACUCCGGGAAACCGGGGCUAAUACCGGAUAACAUUUUGAACCGCAUGGUUCGAAAUUGAAAGGCGGCUUCGGCUGUCACUUAUGGAUGGACCCGCGUCGCAUUAGCUAGUUGGUGAGGUAACGGCUCACCAAGGCAACGAUGCGUAGCCGACCUGAGAGGGUGAUCGGCCACACUGGGACUGAGACACGGCCCAGACCCCUACGGGAGGUAGCAGUAGGGAAUCUUCCGCAAUGGACGAAAGUCUGACGGAGCAACGCCGCGUGAGUGAUGAAGGCUUUCGGGUCGUAAAACUCUGUUGUUAGGGAAGAACAAGUGCUAGUUGAAUAAGCUGGCACCUUGACGGUACCUAACCAGAAGGCCACGGCUAACUACGUGCCAGCCGCCGCGGUAA
Molecule: ribosomal RNA, 515 nt
Filed under: uncultured bacterium
Lineage: Bacteria
Description: partial 16S ribosomal RNA
Rfam family: Bacterial small subunit ribosomal RNA
Source: RNAcentral